Molecule: long non-coding RNA, 593 nt
Organism: Phyllostomus hastatus (greater spear-nosed bat)
Lineage: Eukaryota; Metazoa; Chordata; Mammalia; Chiroptera; Phyllostomidae
Exons: 3
Source: RefSeq, a predicted model, not a curated record
UGCCCUUGCAGAGCCCAAGCCCCGGGGUCUCUGGUCCCGCAGCGCGCACCCGCAGUUUCUUUCAGCGGAUAGCGUGGAGGAAAGAUCACUCUGGCGACUUUCGGUCUUUGUCAUUUAAACCUGAGCAUCUCUGUCCACAGUUCUGCACACAGGAAGCCUGGGGUCGCGAGGGACCUUGAAAUCCCCAAACCUGCCCCUCCAGCAGGGUUCUCCCCGUGAAGAGGCUCGGACUCCUCCCUCCCCAGAGGGGCUCUGCAGACCUCUCCCCCAACUUCUCCGGAGACGCCCCCCAUCUCCCGUUUAAUACGUAAGAGUCGGCUGCCAAGGAAGAGCACACUUGUCAGUGAGAUGGGGUUUUGGACUGAAGCACAGGGGUGUCCCAAGAAGCGGUCACCUGCCCGGCGGGGUGGGAUGAGAGAGGUGAACUGGAACCUGAAAAGACCAAAUCUGCCACUCCAUGAUGUUUUUUUCAAGCAAGACUAAAAGUAUCGGUCUUUUCUUACUUUGAAAUGGAUUUACUUUUUUCUUUCUACCUCUUACAUUUACUUUAUGUGUUUUCAAAAGCAUAUUGAAAUAAAUAUUUGUCUAUUACA